GGGGGUGCAAUGGUUUCGACGGGGGUUGUAACCCUCGGUAAGCGGGUAGCGGUCGCAGGUCACGCUUAAAAAACUGCAAACUUAAAAAUAAACGACAACAAUAAAGUUGCCUUAGCUGCUUGAUGCAGCUCGUCUUACCUAUGACCACCGCGACAUAGGAUAAGGCGUCGACUAGCGGUAAAGGUGAACAGGGGAGUGUCUCGACCCUUGUCAUCAACAAGAGGCUUGCCCGAUAGUAAUCCUGUUGUUGGGAGUACUAAAGGGGACUUCUAAAACAUCAACUACACCCGUAGAAAGCCGUGGCAAGCGACUUUCGGACGUGGGUUCGAUUCCCACCAUCUCCACCA
RNAcentral lists this transfer-messenger RNA (347 nucleotides) under Oscillospiraceae bacterium. It matches the Rfam family "transfer-messenger RNA". Rfam says of the family: Bacterial tmRNA, also known as 10Sa RNA or SsrA, is named for its dual tRNA and mRNA-like properties. Its role is to liberate the mRNA from a stalled ribosome. RNAcentral also lists the same sequence under 1 other name. Lineage: Bacteria; Bacillati; Bacillota; Clostridia; Eubacteriales; Oscillospiraceae. The record is from RNAcentral.